RNAcentral lists this ribosomal RNA (280 nucleotides) under uncultured bacterium. RNAcentral describes it as "partial 16S ribosomal RNA". It matches the Rfam family "Bacterial small subunit ribosomal RNA", at positions 506 to 784 of the family's 1533-position model. The record is from RNAcentral.
UGCCAGCCGCCGCGGUAAUACGUAGGGGCCAAACGUUGUCCGGAUUUAUUGGGCGUAAAGGGCUCGUAGGCGGUUCAACAAGUCGGUCGUGAAAGCCCGGGGCUCAACUCCGGGACGCCGGUCGAUACUGUUGUGACUAGAGUUCGGUAGAGGUGAGUGGAAUUCUCAGUGUAGCGGUGGAAUGCGCAGAUAUUGAGAGGAACACCAUUAGCGAAGGCGGCUCACUGGGCCGAUACUGACGCUGAGGAGCGAAAGCGUGGGGAGCAAACAGGAUUAGAUA